Molecule: ribosomal RNA, 461 nt
Filed under: Streptococcus sp. oral taxon 064
Lineage: Bacteria; Bacillati; Bacillota; Bacilli; Lactobacillales; Streptococcaceae
Description: bacterial SSU rRNA
Rfam family: Bacterial small subunit ribosomal RNA
Source: RNAcentral
GACGAACGCUGGCGGCGUGCCUAAUACAUGCAAGUAGAACGCUGAAGGAGGAGCUUGCUCUUCUGGAUGAGUUGCGAACGGGUGAGUAACGCGUAGGUAACCUGCCUGGUAGCGGGGGAUAACUAUUGGAAACGAUAGCUAAUACCGCAUAACAGUAGAUGUUGCAUGACAUUUGCUUAAAAGGUGCAAUUGCACCACUACCAGAUGGACCUGCGUUGUAUUAGCUAGUUGGUGGGGUAACGGCUCACCAAGGCGACGAUACAUAGCCGACCUGAGAGGGUGAUCGGCCACACUGGGACUGAGACACGGCCCAGACUCCUACGGGAGGCAGCAGUAGGGAAUCUUCGGCAAUGGACGGAAGUCUGACCGAGCAACGCCGCGUGAGUGAAGAAGGUUUUCGGAUCGUAAAGCUCUGUUGUAAGAGAAGAACGAGUGUGAGAGUGGAAAGUUCACACUGGACG